RNAcentral lists this ribosomal RNA (484 nucleotides) under uncultured bacterium. Its description in RNAcentral is "partial 16S ribosomal RNA". It matches the Rfam family "Bacterial small subunit ribosomal RNA", at positions 30 to 507 of the family's 1533-position model. The record is from RNAcentral.
AUUGAACGCUGGCGGCAGGCCUAACACAUGCAAGUCGAGCGGAUGAAGGGAGCUUGCUCCUGGAUUCAGCGGCGGACGGGUGAGUAAUGCCUAGGAAUCUGCCUGGUAGUGGGGGAUAACGUCCGGAAACGGGCGCUAAUACCGCAUACGUCUUGAGGGAGAAAGUGGGGGAUCUUCGGACCUCACGCUAUCAGAUGAGCCUAGGUCGGAUUAGCUAGUUGGUGGGGUAAAGGCCUACCAAGGCGACGGUCCGUAACUGGUCUGAGAGGAUGAUCAGUCACACUGGAACUGAAGCACGGUCCAGACUCCUACGGGAGGCAGGAGUUGGGAAUUUUGGACAAAUGGCGGAAGCCUGAUCCAGCCAUGCCGCGGGUAGGAAGAAGGUCUUCGGAUUGUAAAACACUUUAAAUUGGGAGGAAGGGCAGUAAGAUAAUACCAUGCUGUUUUGGCGUUACCAACAGAAUAAACACCGGGUAACUUCGUG